Molecule: ribosomal RNA, 253 nt
Filed under: uncultured bacterium
Lineage: Bacteria
Description: partial 16S ribosomal RNA
Rfam family: Bacterial small subunit ribosomal RNA
Source: RNAcentral
UACGUAGGGUGCGAGCGUUGUUCGGAAUUACUGGGCGUAAAGCGAACGUAGGCGGUGUUCCAUGUCAGAGGUGAAAGCCUGGGGCUCAACUCCAGAAUUGCCUUUGAAACGGGAACGCUUGAGUCCGAGAGAGGAUGGCGGAAUUCCUAGUGUAGAGGUGAAAUUCGUAGAUAUUAGGAAGAACACCAGUGGCGAAGGCGGCCAUCUGGCUCGGUACUGACGCUCAGGUUCGAAAGCGUGGGGAGCGAACAGG